This 373-nucleotide ribosomal RNA is filed under the name uncultured bacterium. Its description in RNAcentral is "bacterial SSU rRNA". It matches the Rfam family "Bacterial small subunit ribosomal RNA", at positions 525 to 896 of the family's 1533-position model. The record is from RNAcentral.
ACGGGGGGUGCAAGCGUUGUUCGGAUUUAUUGGGCGUAAAGCGCGUGUAGGCGGUUUUAUAAGUCUGAUGUGAAAGCCCUGGGCUCAACCCGGGAAGUGCAUUGGAUACUGUAAGACUUGAAUACGGGAGAGGGCAGUGGAAUUCCUAGUGUAGGAGUGAAAUCCGUAGAUAUUAGGAGGAACACCGGUGGCGAAGGCGGCUGCCUGGACCGAUAUUGACGCUGAGACGCGAAAGCGUGGGUAGCAAACAGGAUUAGAUACCCUGGUAGUCCACGCCGUAAACGAUGAGAACUAGGUGUUGCGGGUAUUGACCCCUGCAGUGCCGUAGCUAACGCAUUAAGUUCUCCGCCUGGGAAGUACGGUCGCAAGACUA